Molecule: ribosomal RNA, 585 nt
Filed under: uncultured archaeon
Lineage: Archaea
Description: bacterial SSU rRNA
Rfam family: Archaeal small subunit ribosomal RNA
Source: RNAcentral
UACACUGCAGACGGCUCAGUAACACGUGGUCAAGCUAACCUAUGGACGUGGAUAACCUCGGGAAACUGAGAAUAAACCGCGAUGGAUCAUGAUGCCUGGAAUGGCUUAUGGUCGAAAUAGUUUACUGCCAUAGGAUGCGACUGCGGCCUAUCAGUUAGUUGGUGAGGUAAUGGCCCACCAAGACUAUUACAGGUACGGGCUCUGAGAGGAGAAGCCCGGAGAUGGGUACUGAGACACGGACCCAGGCCCUAUGGGGCGCAGCAGGCGAGAAACCUUAGCAAUGUGCGAAAGCACGACUGGGUUAGUCCGAGUGAUUCCUGCUAAAGGAAUCUUUUGCCGGUCCUAAAAGCACCGGUGAAUAAGGGGUGGGCAAGCCUGGUGUCAGCCGCCGCGGUAAUACCAGCUCCUCGAGUGGUCGGGGCGAUUAUUGGGCCUAAAGCAUCCGUAGCCGGUUCCGUAGGUCCUCUGUUAAAUCCAACCGCUUAACGGUUGACCUGCAGAGGAUACCGCGGGACUAGGAAGCGGGAGAGGCGGACGGUACUCCGCGUGUAGGGGUAAAAUCCUUUGAUCCGCGGAAGACCACCA